Homo sapiens (human) is the source of this 2597-nucleotide long non-coding RNA. The record is from Ensembl. NCBI's taxonomy places the organism in Eukaryota, Metazoa, Chordata, Mammalia, Primates, Hominidae.
AAUCUUAAACUGGCAUUCAACAGAUACAAAGCAAUGCUACUCCGUUGGGAGUUGGCAGUCUAGUGAUGAUCUAUGAGCUUUUUGUUAUUGGCUUGUAAUGAGACAGGUAUAGAAACUAAAUUAUAUUUGUGUUACUUACCAGUGGUAAGCAACUAUUAUAAAAUUUGGUAUUACUGAAACAUACAAGCACAUAAUCAGACACAUUUUUGGAGCAGAAUAUAGAAUAGCUCAGGUGCUUUUCAUUUCGUUUUUCUAGUAGUUGAUUUUUAUCAUAUUUUACUGAAGUAUUGGCCUUCUAUGAAAUGUAAAAAGAAACUGGUUCUUUACUGCAGAUGAUUUGAGAAGCACUGAUGGAGAAGUCGAGUUCCUUAUUCAGAUAUUAAGCCAAUCUUACUCUUUCCAAUGUCAUCUUGGUGACCCAAUUGUGACAAGAAUGUCCAGAUACAGUUUGGUGUUGUGAACUGGUUGGCUUCCCCGUUUUGCAGAGUAGAAAACUGCUUCAAGAUAUUGAUAUAUAUCUGCUGGAGAUAAAGGAACACAGUGGAUUGCUAUCUGAGCUCACCUGAGAAAUCUGAAUGUAGAAAUCUGCAGUUACUGGCCUGAAAUACCAGUACACAGAGAAAUAUGUCAGCACUUCAACUGACUAUGGGUAGCAAGGAUUGUCAAAAUUUUCUUUUGGAUCACAUAUUGACCAUUUAGGAGAAAUUGUCAUUGUGGAAUCACUUAAAAAUAACAUUUUGUCCAAUAAGACCUUUAGAAAACAUGGGACCCAGAUAAAUGUUGAAACCUCAGAAUUAGGAGGAAACUUUACAAGCUGUCAGCUAGAGGCAGAUUCAACCAUAUCACAGGAAAUGUGGUAGAAGUUCCGAGUAAGGAAUUAUUUCAGCAGCCAUGAAAGCUCCCUGCAUAAGAAAGACUCAGUGUGCAACAUCUGAAAGCAGUAUUGCCAGAGCAUGACUGUGGCAAUGAAGCAAGAUGUUCCCUCCACCUAUCCCUCCCUCCCCAGUAUAAUGCUUGAAGGGUCAGUCACUGAAAUAAGUAGAGAGAAAAGUGUUUGCUGAAAGAGCUAAUACAUAAGUCAACCUUCACUGGUACCAAUGAAGGCUUCCCAGUUCAAAAUUCAACACCCAGAAAAGGCAGAAAUUUUAGCUUUAAAUUAAGUUUAAAUUUUCAGUUAUCCCAGUGGACUAGGCAUUUAAAUUUGAGGAGUUCCCUGAGAUUCCAUAUGAGGAAAUGAAAAACAUUAGCUUGUGGAUUAAAUUUAAAGAGACUGUAAGGAGAAAAACAUAUUUUAUGACAUGCCUCUUAAGGACUCCUAUUAUUUCAAUGAAUUUGUUACAGUUAUAAUAUGCUUGUGAUAAAAAGGCAUUAUUUAUUAAGAAAUCUAAAAUGUAAUAAUAUUUCAAUUAUAUAGUUUUAGAGAACCUUUCUUGCCCAACACUUUUCUGAUAGCAAGUUGGACAUCCUUGUUUCUGAGGCUAUAAACCAUGGGGUUUAGUAAUGGAGUGACAAUCGUGUAUGUCACCGUCACCAGCCUGUCUUUGUUGGACACAUAGUUUGCUGUAGGCCUCAGGUAGAUGAAGGAAGCACAGCCAUAAUGAACAAUAACAACACUGAGGUGAGAGGCGCAGGUGGAAAACGCUUUCCGUCUGCCCUCAGCUGAGGGAAUCUUCAGGAUAGUCCUCAGAAUGCAGAGAUAAGAAACACAGAUAAACAGAAAGGGAACCACAAGUACAAGAACUCCACAAAUGAAUAUCACAAAUUCGUUAACAUCUGUGUUGGUACAAGCCAGAAGAAUGACUGCUGAGAUGUCACAGAAGUAAUGAUUGACUUUGUUGGCGCUACAAAAAGGGAGGCUGAAAACUAAAUUUACUACUGUAAGAGAGGCCAAGAAGCCACCAAUUGCACAGGCAGCUGCCAGUUUUCCACACACCUGCCAGCUCAUAAGAGUGGGGUAAUGCAGAGGGUGACAAAUGGCAGCAUAGCGAUCAUAACCCAUCACACCCAAUAGCAGGCAGUUGGUAAUGGCAAAACCAAGGAAGAAGAACAUUUGAAGAGCACAACAGUUGAAGGAGAUUGUCCUGGCCACAGAAAGUAGAUUGAUGAGCAUCUUGGGUAGAAUGACAAAGGUGUAGAAGGUCUCAGAUGUUGAGAGAAUGCCAAGGAAGAAGUACAUUGGUGUGUGGAGGCUUUUAUCCAGGUGGAUGACACUGAUAAUGGUGACAUUGCCACUAAGAAUGACUAGAUACAGAAAAAGAAAAACUACAAAGAGGGCCAGCUGAAUUUCACCAAGGCUGGAAAAACCCAGCAACAGGAAUUCGGUGACCAUGGUGAGGUUUUCUGCCAAGAUCUGCAAAGGGGGAAAGAAGUAAAACAUAUUCAGAUAGAACUACAAAAAUAGAAUACACACUCAAUGGGCUGACCAACUGAUUCAUAACAUCUUUAUUGGAGAAUGAACUUUCUUUUUCUCUCCAGGCCCCCUGUAACCCCUGUCUGGUAUUUUCUACAUGACUGAUUCCUCUCUAGAGCCAGAACUAUGGAAUCUUAAGAGAAUCUGUAUUUCUUUAAAAAGAAUAAAUAUCUUAUGACACUCUUUA